RNAcentral lists this long non-coding RNA (643 nucleotides) under Phoenix dactylifera (date palm). RNAcentral's name for it is "long non-coding RNA (PDAC_LNC011221)". The record is from RNAcentral. Lineage: Eukaryota; Viridiplantae; Streptophyta; Magnoliopsida; Arecales; Arecaceae.
GACAGAAGGCCAGGGGAGAGUUUAUAUAAACCUCCCCAACGGCCCCGAUCGGCAAAAAGAAAAGCCGCACCCCGUUGAGAUGACCACACGUGUCGGUCCAAAAGACAGAACGACGCACUCAAUUAGGGCUAACGCUUCGAACACCGAAGCGCCCCAUCGGAUCGUGCGGCCCCAUCAUGAGCCCACGGCGUGGGGACGCCUCGCAAAAGGUGUCCCAAUAAUGAGGAUUUUCGGGAAAGAAGAGACGCCGCCUAUUAAAGGCAUCUCGAGGCGUCCGAUAAUUCAAAAUGCGCAAUAAAUUAAAAUUUUCGGAAUUCGUACGGCCCAAUUGAAGCUACUUCCCGCGCUCCAGCUGGUAGCCAACUGGAACUCGGAAGUCGGGGGGUAGUGUUGGGGAAAAAACCCCGAGUCAUACCGGAGCGCCAAGAGGCGCUCGGACCAACCAACAUGACCAAGUAGGGAUGCUCGGCUAGAAAGAGCCGACCAGAGGACGCCGACCAGAAAAGCGCUCGAUUGGAGGGCGCUGACCAGAGGAUAGAGCGCGAAAUAAAGGCGCUCGGCUAGGAGGCGCUCGAUCAAAGGGCGCCGACCAGAGGCAUUAGAAGCGACCCCGCCACAGGGCGCCCCAUUGGGCGACCAGCUC